AUUGAACGCUGGCGGCAGGCCUAACACAUGCGAGUCGAGCGGAUGAAGGGAGCUUGCUCCUGGAUUCAGCGGCGGACGGGUGAGUAAUGCCUAGGAAUCUGCCUGGUAGUGGGGGAUAACGUCCGGAAACGGGCGCUAAUACCGCAUACGUCCUGAGGGAGAAAGAGGGGGAUCUUCGGACCUCACGCUAUCAGAUGAGCCUAGGUCGGAUUAGCUAGUUGGUGGGGUAAAGGCCUACCAAGGCGACGAUCCGUAACUGGUCUGAGAGGAUGAUCAGUCACACUGGAACUGGAAAACGGUCCAGACUCCUACGGGAGGCAGCAGUGGGGAAUAUUGGACAAUGGGCGAAAUCCUGAUCCAGCCAUGCCGCGUGUGUGAAGAAGGUCUUCGGAUUGUAAAGCACUUUAAGUUGGGAGGAAGGGCAGUAAGUUAAUACCUUGCUGUUUUGACGUUACCAACAGAAUAAGCACCGGCUAACUUCGUG
This 484-nucleotide ribosomal RNA is filed under the name uncultured bacterium. RNAcentral describes it as "partial 16S ribosomal RNA". It matches the Rfam family "Bacterial small subunit ribosomal RNA", at positions 30 to 507 of the family's 1533-position model. The record is from RNAcentral.